ACGGCCGCGGUACCCUAACCGUGCGAAGGUAGCACAAUCACUUGUUCUUUAAAUGAGGACUAGUAUCAAUGGCAUCACGAGGAUCCUACUGUCUCCCCCCUCCAAUCAGUGAAACUGAUCUCUCCGUGAAGAAGCGGGGAUAUUUAUAUAAGACGAGAAGACCCCAUGGAGCUUUAAACCCGAUGACACCCAUUUAUACCCACACCCUAAUAUUCCAUUUGGUUAUGUUCCUUCGGUUUUAGGUUGGGGUGACCACGGAGUAUAGCACAUCCUCCAUGAAAAAGGGAAUAAUAAUCCUUAUUAGAGAACAACACUUCAAAAAAUUAACACACUAAUUUACAAUGAUCCGAUAUUCGAUCAACGAACCAAGUUACCCUGGGGAUAACAGCGCAAUCCACUUCAAGAGCUCCUAUCGACAAGCGGGUUUACGACCUCGAUGUUGGAUCAGGGUAUCCCAGUGGUGCAGCAGCUACUAAAGGUUCGUUUGUUCAACGAUUAAAACCCU
Molecule: ribosomal RNA, 505 nt
Filed under: Boophis marojezensis
Lineage: Eukaryota; Metazoa; Chordata; Amphibia; Anura; Mantellidae
Also listed under: 1 other name
Description: partial 16S ribosomal RNA
Rfam family: Bacterial large subunit ribosomal RNA
Source: RNAcentral